This 271-nucleotide unclassified non-coding RNA is filed under the name Peniophora albobadia. RNAcentral describes it as "partial internal transcribed spacer region". The stretch from base 1 to 46 matches the Rfam family "Eukaryotic small subunit ribosomal RNA", at positions 1786 to 1831 of the family's 1831-position model. Lineage: Eukaryota; Fungi; Basidiomycota; Agaricomycetes; Russulales; Peniophoraceae. The record is from RNAcentral.
AAGUCGUAACAAGGUUUCCGUAGGUGAACCUGCGGAAGGAUCAUUAGCGAAGUUCGGAAUGCAUGUUCGAUGUUGAUGCUGCCCAGCAAUGGGAUGUGCUCGCUCGGAUGUGUGUCCCUUCUCUAUCCACCCCAUUGUGAACCAAGUGUGUGAGCCAAAGAGAAAUCGGACGCUCGCAUGCAAACCUUUAACAUACCCCAAUAAAGUAUCAGAAUGUACCUUGCGUUAACUCGCACAAAUAUAACUUUCAACAACGGAUCUCUUGGCUCUC